This 663-nucleotide ribosomal RNA is filed under the name uncultured bacterium. RNAcentral's name for it is "bacterial SSU rRNA". It matches the Rfam family "Bacterial small subunit ribosomal RNA", at positions 93 to 742 of the family's 1533-position model. The record is from RNAcentral.
GAGUGGCGGACGGGUGAGUAACACGUAGGUAACCUGCCCCGGAGCGGGGGAUAACAUUUGGAAACAGAUGCUAAUACCGCAUAACAACGAAAGCCACAUGGCUUUUGUUUGAAAGAUGGCUUUGGCUAUCACUCUGGGAUGGACCUGCGGUGCAUUAGCUAGUUGGUAAGGUAACGGCUUACCAAGGCGAUGAUGCAUAGCCGAGUUGAGAGACUGAUCGGCCACAAUGGAACUGAGACACGGUCCAUACUCCUACGGGAGGCAGCAGUAGGGAAUCUUCCACAAUGGGCGCAAGCCUGAUGGAGCAACACCGCGUGAGUGAAGAAGGGUUUCGGCUCGUAAAGCUCUGUUGUUGGAGAAGAACGUGCGUGAGAGUAACUGUUCACGCAGUGACGGUAUCCAACCAGAAAGUCACGGCUAACUACGUGCCAGCAGCCGCGGUAAUACGUAGGUGGCAAGCGUUAUCCGGAUUUAUUGGGCGUAAAGCGAGCGCAGGCGGUUGCUUAGGUCUGAUGUGAAAGCCUUCGGCUUAACCGAAGAAGUGCAUCGGAAACCGGGCGACUUGAGUGCAGAAGAGGACAGUGGAACUCCAUGUGUAGCGGUGGAAUGCGUAGAUAUAUGGAAGAACACCAGUGGCGAAGGCGGCUGUCUGGUCUGCAACUG